CCCUAAACGGGAUUUUUAGAGCCCUGAACCCGUUUCCCUCGCUGGAGGCUUCUCCCAAGCUUCCCACGUUGGCUAAGGAUGGAGGGAUGGACGGGCGUCCUCUGCAUCAAUCUGGGUGCGCUGAGUUCAAGUCGCUCCUCCUCGUCCCAUGUGCAACCCACGCGCUCCUCACCCGGCACGUCUGAACUGGAAGCUGCGUCCCGUUUGACAGGUCCCUUGGGUCGCAGCCCGAGGCGCCUUCCCUCGCUGGCACCCGGAGGUGGAGAGGAACUGAGUCAGGCUGGGAUGGCUGAGGCACGCCACGGGUUUCAGACAAGACCAGGGCGGGAUUCAGGUUUGAUGAGGCCCUAAGCUACUGAAGGUAAUAGAGCCCUUUAUAUGUCUAGCAGUCCUUUUGUCAACAACAAAUUGUUGCUUUUUUGUGUUGAAUAUAUGCUAUAUGGUAAUUUAUGAUUCUAAUAGGUAUCUAAAGCCAUUUGCACGUAACAAAAUACAUAUUUCAUCAAAGCUUGCUUUUUAUCUUACAUUUUGGAAAUGUACAUCAAGUAUUUUUUCCCUUUAAAUUUUUUUUUGGGGGGGGCAAGAGAGUGGGGCCCUAAGCUACAGCUUGUUUAACUUAUACGUAAAUCUGGCACUGGACAAGACAGAGGGGUUGGGCAACACAAGCUCACUGUUCGAGGAAAGUGCUUUAUCUGCAGUCAAGUCCAUUGAUCCAUCAAGAUUAGUAUCACCGACCCUGGCUGGCAACGGCCCUCUAGGGUAAGGUUGCCAGAUUUUUUUCAAUGAAUUCGGGGACACUUUUAAACUUGGAUUUUGUAUGGGGACUGAUGUGUAAAUCCGGGGACUGUCCCCAGGAAACGGGGACGUCUGGCAACAUUACUCUAGGGUUUCAGCCAGGGACAUGCCCUACCAGAAGAUGCCAAGAUUCGAACCUGGGGCUUUCUGCAGGAAUGGUGGAUGCUGCUGCAGUAAGGCCCUUCCCCCAGGCAGAUGCGCUCAAUAAGAGGUCCUUCUUGCAGUUGUGGGAAUCAGAAAUGGUGCUGUUACAACUGGUCCUGUGUGGCCAAGUUCGCACAAGGUGACGUUCAAUCAGGGCUUCUUUUUUUCAGCUGGAGCUCAGCUCCAGCUCCAAGUUCACAGUGAGCUCCAUCACAUCUUUUUCUAGAAAAAAAACCACUGGGGGCAACUUGUUCCUGGAUGCAGCUGUUUAGACAACACGAAGGGGAUAACUGUACUUUUCUCAAAAGAGAACAUCUCCCAGCAUGUGUAAAGCAAGCAAACAUAGCAGAGGCCACUCUAGAAUUGUUCACUGUAAUAUAAGGGCCAUUAAAUUCAGCAUUCUGUUCUCACCAAGUAGGGCUUCAUAAAAAAAUAAAGUGCAACAGGAUUGCUCCAGCUAUGUAUAUGGGGGAGUGGUUUCAAACAGUUUCCCAGAUUCUUACAUUGCAAGCAACCACACCUCUGUUACUUCCGCUGUGAAUCAGGCAUAAACUCACUACAAAAUGAAAGGGUAGUUAAAAAGGGCAUUAACCAACAUCCACUCAUCUCUGCAGCUUUCAACACUGAAAUUUCAUCUGAGAAGAGCAGAUAGAAAGAGCAACCAGAAUAUGACAUGCAGAUUUGGAACUAGCAUAAGUCUAGCCUCCAUUCACCUCUAACUAAUAACUUACUAUAUUUUGGGGUUGCCUGUUCUCUAAGAAUGUG
RNAcentral lists this long non-coding RNA (1704 nucleotides) under Podarcis lilfordi (Lilford's wall lizard). The record is from RNAcentral. Lineage: Eukaryota; Metazoa; Chordata; Lepidosauria; Squamata; Lacertidae.